This 250-nucleotide ribosomal RNA is filed under the name uncultured bacterium. RNAcentral's name for it is "partial 16S ribosomal RNA". It matches the Rfam family "Bacterial small subunit ribosomal RNA", at positions 524 to 773 of the family's 1533-position model. The record is from RNAcentral.
GACAGAGGUUGCAAACGUUGUUCGGAAUCACUGGGCAUAAAGCGCACGUAGGUGGUCCGCUAAGUCGAUUGUGAAAUUCCCCGGCUCAACCGGGGAACGGCACUCGAUACUGGCGGGCUUGAGGUCCGGAGGGGUGAGUGGAACUCCUGGUGGAGCGGUGAAAUGCGUAGAUAUCAGGAGGAACACCGGUGGCGAAAGCGACUCACUGGCCGGAAUCUGACACUGAGGUGCGAAAGCUAGGGUAGCAAAC